GAGUUUGAUCUUGGCUCAGAUUGAACGCUGGCGGCAUGCCUUACACAUGCAAGUCGAACGGCAGCACGGGAGCUUGCUCCUGGUGGCGAGUGGCGAACGGGUGAGUAAUGCAUCGGAACGUAUCCUGGAGUGGGGGGAUAACGUAGCGAAAGUUACGCUAAUACCGCAUAUUCUGUGAGCAGGAAAGCGGGGGACCUUCGGGCCUCGCGCUCUUGGAGCGGCCGAUGUCGGAUUAGCUAGUUGGUGAGGUAAAGGCUCACCAAGGCGACGAUCCGUAGCAGGUCUGAGAGGAUGAUCUGCCACACUGGAACUGAGACACGGUCCAGACUCCUACGGAGGCAGCAGUGGGGAAUUUUGGACAAUGGGGGCAACCCUGAUCCAGCCAUGCCGCGUGAGUGAAGAA
RNAcentral lists this ribosomal RNA (403 nucleotides) under bacterium enrichment culture clone ALO1_GLFRUDD03G27N5. Its description in RNAcentral is "bacterial SSU rRNA". It matches the Rfam family "Bacterial small subunit ribosomal RNA", at positions 9 to 412 of the family's 1533-position model. The record is from RNAcentral.